AAGACUCUACUUUCAGGGAUCAUUUAUAUAGUAUGUGACUAGAGAAGUUUCUCUGAUCAUGUAGAGCACCCAGAGCCAACGAGGAGGAACCAGAGUGUCUUCUCCUGACUGUGAAACCUGUUCUAGAUGUUGCUUCUGUGACUGCCUUUGGCCAUUGAUGUUCUUUUUUUCUUUCCUCUGGGAAUGGUAGAGGUAGAGGAUGAAGUCUGUGUGGU
Small nucleolar RNA from Suncus etruscus (white-toothed pygmy shrew), 215 nucleotides. RefSeq annotates it as small nucleolar RNA U3. The transcript has a single exon. NCBI's taxonomy places the organism in Eukaryota, Metazoa, Chordata, Mammalia, Eulipotyphla, Soricidae. The record is from RefSeq and is a predicted model, not a curated record.